Molecule: long non-coding RNA, 546 nt
Filed under: Bos taurus (domestic cattle)
Lineage: Eukaryota; Metazoa; Chordata; Mammalia; Artiodactyla; Bovidae
Description: long non-coding RNA NONBTAT019383
Source: RNAcentral
AACAAUUGUUCAGCUAUCUGGGCAGCUGUCAAUGAAAUACCUGAGAGUAACAACACUACUCCUUUAUCUACCUGGAUUACUUUCCCACAAAAAUUUAUCUUCAUAAACUAUCUCUAUUAAUCAGGUUUCUAAGCUCCACAGCCUAUUUCAGUUAAAAUCAUCUAUUCAACAAUUAAAAAAAAAAAACUGCAGUCAUCAAGGAUGGAAAUGUAUGAUUUGUGUAAAAAAGUCUUUACUAACUUUACACUGUACCACAGAUAAAUGUGAUUUUGAUAACAAUUCCAUACAAUGACAAAUAUGGCACAUAGAUUUUCUUUAAAAUACUGUUAAAGUAUUUGAAAUCAAAAUAGUUCUAAGAAAGAAAUUGUCAUUAAACAAGUUUCUUACUAUUUCUGACUUUGAAUUAUACAGAAAUUUAAAUUGCCUUAAAUGACAUAGAAAAUUGGGGAUACAAUAAUUUCACUUAGAUACUAUGAGCCUGUUCAUAUAAUUCUGAUUGACUACUAACUUUGGUUUAUGUAUUUAUUAAAAAGCUGAUACUGUAGU